Molecule: ribosomal RNA, 238 nt
Filed under: uncultured bacterium
Lineage: Bacteria
Description: partial 16S ribosomal RNA
Rfam family: Bacterial small subunit ribosomal RNA
Source: RNAcentral
CGGCGGACGGGUGAGUAACGCGUGGGUAACCUGCCUCAUACAGGGGGAUAACAGUUAGAAAUGACUGCUAAUACCGCAUAAGACCACGGUACCGCAUGGUACAGUGGUAAAAACUCCGGUGGUAUGAGAUGGACCCGCGUCUGAUUAGGUAGUUGGUGAGGUAACGGCCCACCAAGCCGACGAUCAGUAGCCGACCUGAGAGGGUGACCGGCCACAUUGGGACUGAGACACGGCCCAG